RNAcentral lists this long non-coding RNA (3767 nucleotides) under Solanum lycopersicum (tomato). Its description in RNAcentral is "partial TCONS_00187916". The record is from RNAcentral. Lineage: Eukaryota; Viridiplantae; Streptophyta; Magnoliopsida; Solanales; Solanaceae.
CAGCAUUAGAGCAGACAAACAUGAACGACUUUUAUUUCCUCUUCUCUUCACCCUUUUCUUUUUCCAUUCACAUGCGUGCCUUGUUGAAUAAAUUGGACUGUGCUUGCAUAUGAAUAGUUUGUUCCUUUUUAUUUUCUGUGUUUUAUGUUGUUCGUGUGUAUAUAUUGUAAUUACUUGCUGCAAUUAUCUUUAUAUUUCUUCAUAGCAGGAAGUAAGAUAAAGGCAUUAGUAUAUGACUAAUUUAAGUGCCCAUUCCUUCAUGUUACAGUUUUGCCAGAACACCUUGUAAAUUGUGAAUGGGCCUCCCUCUCUUUCUAGUCUUUGUUUUAAAAAUUAGAUAGGAGAGAGAGCUUUCAGGGGGUAUUUACUAGGUCUGCACCAUUAUUUUGAUUGGCUACUGAUUUUGACUGUUAUCAGAGUACUAGUUGCUUCUCUCUCUUUUCUUUUGUACUUUGAUGGGUCAUUUGGUUCAUGGACAAGUUAUAGAAAGAUUAAAAUGUAUGAGUAUUAUUAUAUGGUGAAUUAUAACCACUUGAUAAUUGUAUUUUUUAGGAAAUGUUUGGUUCUUUGUAUUAACAUUUAGGUAUGAUGUGCAAUCAUCUACAACGUCUGUUUGGUUUGAAAUGAAAAUGCAGAUGCCAAUCAUACCCUUGGCCUAAAUAAAAAGAAAAAAUCCAAUCUAAUUUUGGAUUAUAUUAAGAUGUGAACUACUUUUCUGUAACAUAAUCACAUAUUUUAUGAGAUAUAUAAUUUCUUUUACUAUUUUAGAUAAUGAACACUUCUAGAAGGAAAACUGAAAUGAGGUAUAAUAGAUGAAAUAGUUCUUUUGUAAUUUUUAACCUGAAAUUUAUUUUGACCUCUUGUAUUAUUAUUCCAUAUGAAUUUCAGCAUAAAAUGAUGCACUAAUUUCAACAUGACGAAUGCAAGAUUAUCUCAAUACAUCGAUUAAGGGGGGAACAAAACGUUGUCUUUUAAUGCAUAAUUUAAAACUGACAUAUGGAGCAUGUUUCACUCGAUUUUUGGACUUAGCUGGGUGAUGCCAUGCCAUGUAGUGUUAAAGAUGCAUAUGAAAGCUGGAGUGCAUGAAGUGUUGGUAAAUCCAUCAGGUUUAUCUGGAGAAUGGUAUCUACCUCAUUUUUUUGGCCUUUUUGGACAAAAAGGAAUCAUAGAUGCUUUAAUGGUUUUUCAACUCCAUUAAAGUUGAAAUAUGAAGAAUUGCCCAACCAACGAAACAGUCCUCCUACAUUGGCAUACAUAGUUUCGGGUGCUUGACACUUGUACAAAUGCCUUCUUGGUUUACCAAACACUAGUUCUAAAACAUAUAUUAACAUACGACUCAUUGGGAUCAUUUCGACAUACUCUUGAUGGCUUUGUCAACAUCCCGUGAACUCCAACUUGAUGGCUUAUCCCUAACAGAGAAAGGCAUGACCCAGGAAAGACCAAAAAAGCAACAAAACAUAUUCCAGAGGUCUGAGGCCGAUGGGCAGUGCAGUAGCAAGUGGUUGACACUUUUUGUGUGCUUGUGGCAGAAAUAGCAUCGUUAGCAAGUCAGAAUUUCCUUUUGGAGAGAUUAUUCCGUGUGAGGCAUGAGUUAUGUAGUGCAGUCACAUUGCAUUAACCUCUGUGGGAUCAAUUCUUAUUCAUACCCAUAGCAUUAUCAAAUAGGUAUCAUUCUGACAUUCGUGACAUUAGAUAUUUCCAUAAGAGAGAUGUAUGAACUUGACAUGGAGGUCUGGUAAGUGUAUAAAACAAUUGUAAGACCAAUAACAUUAUACGAGAGUGAAUAUUGGGCCUUUAAGGUCCAACAUAUCCACAAGAUGAGUGUUGCAAAAAUAUAAAUGUUAAGGUAAGUGUAUGAUUAAAAAUGCACAAGUAAAGUUACUGCUUAAAGAUGAAAUGAUAGAGGGUCAUUUGACGUGGUUUAGUCAUUUUUUAUGUAGACCUGUGGAUACACCAAUCUGUGGUGAUAUCGGAAUGAUUGAAGAUGUUCAAAAACGGAGACAAGAUAGCUCUAAAAUAACAUAGAAGUUGUCACGAAAGACCUACAAUAAAAGAAAGUUGACUCGAAAAACCUACAAUAUCUUAAAAUCAUUACAAAUUUAGUGAAUUUGAACACAAUGAAAUAAAAAGAUUUAUGUAGGCAUUAUUAACUAGUCGGGUUUAAGUCUUUAGUCAUGCUGGUAAACUUACAUUAGGUCCAACUUCUAAGAGUUUUUUAAAUCUUGUUACGUAUUUGUAUUUCUUUGGAAAAUAUAGAUAACCUGUUAGAGAGCCUAAAUUUGAAUGAAAUGGGUUCAGAAGGAACAAUACUGAAAUGAGGAUUCAUAUAGCCAAGACCAACUAGCUUUGGAUUGAACGCUAGUAGUUGUUGCUCUGAACUACCUGUGUGCCUUUCUGUGCCAUGACUGUCUUCAUUGUUUUGAUGCUUGGAUGUCAAAGAUAAUGUUCUAGUUCCAGUUUUCUACUAGUCAAUGCUUAAAAGCUUUGGCAGUCUACGUGUGUCUUGAGCAUGGAAUCAAGGAUUACUGCUUACUUUCUUUCUAUUAAUUUCUUCGCAGGAAAAAUCCGAAGUUGGUAUUGGUUCUCUGAGUAUGCAUUGAUGGUUUACAGCAUGUCUAGGAAUAGAUUCUGUGAAAGAAUUGGCAGACAACAUAAAAGCAAUCAUGGUAAUGCAUCACCAAUAUUACUUUUGCAAGUAAAAAACUUUUGGUAGUGGUCACAUCUGUUUGAUCUCGCGAUCUCCACUCUUAUAUUUCUCAUCCAAGGUCACCUUGCAGGGACAUGUUUCCAUUUUCUCUAUUGGUUACAUCAGAUAUAGUCGUGCUCGGAGUAUCUUUUACUGAUUAUUUAGAUUCUGUGCGAUGAUAUGCUUUUUUUUAAUGAUGCCCCUCACAUAUGGUGUCAGUUAUGUACGUAGUUGAUCUGCAAAGGGGUGCUUAUUAUCAGAAGUGCUAUGAUCCUGAUUGCAGAGGUAAAUAAUGGUCUUGUUUCAUUCAUUAGUUGAACUUUUUGGCUAAAGAAUGAUGACUUGUAGCCUUUAAUGAUGUUAAAAGGCUAUCGAUCUCCCUUACGACCUGUCCCUGAUAAUGUUAUACCUCAUUCAUCCAUUUCCUUCAAUCUGCCUGGACAUAAUAUGGACGAGGAGCAGCCAACUGUAACCAGUGACACAAGUAUUUUCAGCAGCUGCAAGAAAGAAUGGUGGCUUGAAGCUGUAAGAGUUGCAGACAGCAUUGAGAAUGUACAGAAAGCAUUGGAUCUUACUGAGGAGGAAACAUGUGAAGAAGAUGAGUGGUGGAUGGCUGUCGAAGAGACUGCAUACCAGAUCGAGCUAUCGUAUUUUGGAAAAGCCUAGCCAUUUCAGCCCUGGCAAAAUGCUCAACUUGUAAAACUAGCCAGGUCCAACUAGUUGGUGCAAACCAGUGCAUGGUGGAAUGCUACAUUCCAAUUUCCAAGUCUAUUUAGCUAUGCUAAUGGUUUGGGUAAAAAUCGAUACAAAUCGACUAAAUAAAUCAAAUUUAUUUUGGUUUAAUUUUGGCGUAGUUGAAUUUUUUUUGAAGAAAUGAAAGGGAAAGGAGACGUUUGAUGAAUAAAAUUGGGCCUAGCUACAGUUAGGUGAUGUAAGAUGGAUUUGUAAGUAUGCUGUUGGAUAUUUUGGUGUGUAGCUAAUUAAACAGUAGAUGCACGUGAAAGAUAAUUAGUUAAAGAAGAUGGUACUUUUCAUUUCCGCAUAAUUGAGAGUAGGAAGGUUAAACUAUUUAAUGUUCAAC